Molecule: ribosomal RNA, 253 nt
Filed under: uncultured bacterium
Lineage: Bacteria
Description: partial small subunit ribosomal RNA
Rfam family: Bacterial small subunit ribosomal RNA
Source: RNAcentral
GGGACGAACGCUGGCGGCGUGCUUAACACAUGCAAGUCGAGCGGAAAGGCCCUUCGGGGUACUCGAGCGGCGAACGGGUGAGUAACACGUGAGUAAUCUGCCCCUAGCUCUGGGAUAGCUCCGGGAAACCGGGAUUAAUACUGGAUACGACCACCUUAGACAUCUUUUGUGGUGGAAAGAAUUUCGGCUAGGGAUGAGCUCGCGGCCUAUCAGCUUGUUGGUGGGGUAACGCCUACCAAGGCGACGACGGGUA